AUACUGUCAUUUUUAUUCAAUAUGUCACAGAUUUGAAAACUUCAAAAAAUUAACUAGAAUUUUAGUCUCCGGUUUUUUAUUUAUGCAAAGAUACAAAAUUUCAAGUGAAACAUGUAGCAAAAAUAAAAAUUAUCUUCCCGAUGAUGAAAAGUAUAGACAAAAAAUUAGAAAGUUAAAACAGCAGCAUGUUAUUUUAGAACACAAAGAGACAACGAAGAACCCAAAAAUAAAUUUUCAUGAUUCAUUACCUUUUAUAGUACAUAAAAUACCAAUUUCACCACAGUGUAAAAAGUUGGAGAACAAAGACAAUGUCAAAAGUAUAUUUAAAAAAAUACUUCAACAAAAUUGUUCUCAAUCAGAAGAAAAGAAAACCACUUUGCUAGAAAAUGUAGCGGUUGGAACAAGUAAACCGAUUGUGGAUAUUAAUACACUAUUAAAUGAUUCAAAUGUAUUUAAAAAUAGGAGUGUAGUUACCAUGUGGAACGAAGCUGUAAAGAACAAACCAAAUAGAGAUGCUUCAAAUCUAGUUAGAGUAUGUGCAAAGCAUAGGAGACAAUACUCACAACAAUCUAAAGAACGUAAAGAACAUAAAGAAACGCAUAUAGGCCUGACUACUAUAGACUUACAUGACUGUAAAAAUCAAAGAUCUACCCAGAAAAGUCUUCAAGGUGAAAAUAAUAGUACACAAGUUAGUUUUAUCGAAAAAAUGUAAAGCCAGGCCAUAUCAUGUUUCCCAGUAAAGGAACUAUUUUAAUUGCUGUGAAUCUAAAACUAUUAAUUGUUAGAGAAAAACUACUGUUGGAAAUAUGGAAACUCCCUAUGUAACCUGUAACUAUUAACAAUAAUUAUGUCAACACAAGCCAUGUGACACAUUAUCCGGCGAUGCAAUAUUAGCUGUUCAUUCCGAGUCUCUUUAGUGACCAAAAUGGCUUCAAGAAAUGAUCAAGUCAAAUGGAUAUAAAAAUCAAGUCCAAUUACAUUCACCACAAAACAUACCAAGUAAUAUACUAAUACACUGUUAACUGUAACCUGUGCACAAUUAUCAACAGGGACCAAAUAAAUUGUAACAGAUCAAUACUAAAAAAAACAUCAAACCCAAUAUCUAUCUUAUAUACUGGAAGUUUUUUCUUACAAAACGUUUACUACUGAUUUACUCAUAUAUCUACACUUAUUCAUGUAAAAUACAUUUCAAAUUUUCAAACAAUAAAACAAAAUUAACUUUGUUA
This is an RNA transcript of Diabrotica virgifera virgifera (western corn rootworm), 1226 nucleotides long. RefSeq lists it as uncharacterized. The transcript is spliced from 6 exons. NCBI's taxonomy places the organism in Eukaryota, Metazoa, Arthropoda, Insecta, Coleoptera, Chrysomelidae. The record is from RefSeq and is a predicted model, not a curated record.